AUGUGACGAAUGCGAUUGUUAAAUUCAUUAUUUAUGUUCCCUUAGAAAUUUAUUUUGAUUGCUGUUUGUCGUUGCUUUUAGUUUAAUUGUUGUUGUGGCUCGAGUCGUGUUAAUUGCACAACAUUUUUCAGCUGGCGACGGUCAAAAAUAUUUUUAUUAAUUGAAAUGAAGCUCAUGCCUGGGCUUUGGCAUUGGACUUGAGCUUGACAUUGAAGGCAGUGGCUCUCGCAAGACGAAGAGGCCCCAGUUUACACGAGGCCAUAAACUGGUUUUCCUACAUAAUCAACCAGGAAUUGAAAGCCCUUCAGGCCAGCUUUUUAUUUUCCACUUAAUUGUUGCACAAAUUGGCACAGACGCCCGGAGCUGCAGCCGAUGAUUCUCUUUUUACUACUAUAAUUGCCCCCCUAAUUGCAAAACGAUAGCGUUGCCCUCCCAUCGAGAUACAGAGCAGGGGCGUGUAAAUGAGGCCCCUUUAAACUAAUUAGCUUAAAUCGAUGCCAACCAGCGAUCUUCCACACAACAACUAGAAGCGCUAAAACAAUGGGGCAGUGAGAAAUGGAACGUGCCUAAGUGGACGAGCGAGUAGAGAUCAUCAAGAGCUUGGUUAAAAUUGUGAAAUAGGUUUAAAAACCAUACAUUUUAUUAAAAUGUUAAGUCUUUCAG
Drosophila biarmipes is the source of this 663-nucleotide long non-coding RNA. RefSeq lists it as uncharacterized. NCBI's taxonomy places the organism in Eukaryota, Metazoa, Arthropoda, Insecta, Diptera, Drosophilidae. The record is from RefSeq and is a predicted model, not a curated record. The transcript is spliced from 2 exons.